RNAcentral lists this ribosomal RNA (587 nucleotides) under uncultured bacterium. RNAcentral describes it as "bacterial SSU rRNA". It matches the Rfam family "Bacterial small subunit ribosomal RNA", at positions 338 to 916 of the family's 1533-position model. The record is from RNAcentral.
CCUACGGGAGGCAGCAGUAGGGAAUCUUCCACAAUGGACGAAAGUCUGAUGGAGCAACGCCGCGUGAGUGAUGAAGGGUUUCGGCUCGUAAAACUCUGUUGUUGGAGAAGAACGGGUGUCAGAGUAACUGUUGACAUCGUGACGGUAUCCAACCAGAAAGCCACGGCUAACUACGUGCCAGCAGCCGCGGUAAUACGUAGGUGGCAAGCGUUGUCCGGAUUUAUUGGGCGUAAAGCGAGCGCAGGCGGUUUUUUAGGUCUGAUGUGAAAGCCUUCGGCUUAACCGGAGAAGUGCAUCGGAAACCGGGAGACUUGAGUGCAGAAGAGGACAGUGGAACUCCAUGUGUAGCGGUGAAAUGCGUAGAUAUAUGGAAGAACACCAGUGGCGAAGGCGGCUGUCUGGUCUGCAACUGACGCUGAGGCUCGAAAGCAUGGGUAGCGAACAGGAUUAGAUACCCUGGUAGUCCAUGCCGUAAACGAUGAGUGCUAAGUGUUGGAGGGUUUCCGCCCUUCAGUGCUGCAGCUAACGCAUUAAGCACUCCGCCUGGGGAGUACGGCCGCAAGGUUGAAACUCAAAGGAAUUGACGG